UAAAAAUGAUAGCCUACUCAACACGCGAAAGUAUUGUAAGUUCAUCGGAGAAAAGGUGACCAGCCAGAAUCUUCAUAUCACAGAAGGAAAGAAGAAGAAGAAGUAUUGUAAGUUCAAGCUAAACAUUUGUAAGGAUUAUGAAUCAAUUUAAAAAUCCACGAAAAAGCCUAUUAUUGUCGGGAGUUGGAUUCUUGUAUUUCUCAAAGAUGAUAGCCAUUGUAACCCUGCUGAAGAGGGGCGUGAUAGCCCGAAACACAGUUGUAAACAAAAGUAUGUGUACAGGAGGCUCUAUAAAUAAAUUCUGUUUUCUUUAAGAACUUUUACUCAAUUUUGU
Long non-coding RNA from Centruroides sculpturatus (bark scorpion), 334 nucleotides. RefSeq lists it as uncharacterized. The record is from RefSeq and is a predicted model, not a curated record. The transcript is spliced from 3 exons. Lineage: Eukaryota; Metazoa; Arthropoda; Arachnida; Scorpiones; Buthidae.